AUUGAACGCUGGCGGAAUGCUUUACACAUGCAAGUCGAACGGCAGCACGGGGGCAACCCUGGUGGCGAGUGGCGAACGGGUGAGUAAUACAUCGGAACGUGCCCAUGUCGUGGGGGAUAACGUAGCGAAAGCUACGCUAAUACCGCAUACGAUCUACGGAUGAAAGCGGGGGACCGUAAGGCCUCGCGCGAUUGGAGCGGCCGAUGGCAGAUUAGGUAGUUGGUGGGGUAAAGGCUCACCAAGCCUGCGAUCUGUAGCUGGUCUGAGAGGACGACCAGCCACACUGGGACUGAGACACGGCCCAGACUCCUACGGGAGGCAGCAGUGGGGAAUUUUGGACAAUGGGCGCAAGCCUGAUCCAGCCAUUCCGCGUGCAGGAUGAAGGCCUUCGGGUUGUAAACUGCUUUUGUACGGAACGAAAAGACUCUCUCUAAUACAGGGGGUUCAUGACGGUACCGUAAGAAUAAGCACCGGCUAACUACGUGCCAGCCGCCGCCGUAA
Molecule: ribosomal RNA, 501 nt
Filed under: uncultured bacterium
Lineage: Bacteria
Description: partial 16S ribosomal RNA
Rfam family: Bacterial small subunit ribosomal RNA
Source: RNAcentral